Molecule: ribosomal RNA, 577 nt
Filed under: Triticum aestivum (bread wheat)
Lineage: Eukaryota; Viridiplantae; Streptophyta; Magnoliopsida; Poales; Poaceae
Description: rRNA SSU_rRNA_eukarya
Rfam family: Bacterial small subunit ribosomal RNA (bases 284-577)
Source: RNAcentral
AAAAUGCCUUUGUUGGCUGUCAUUAUUCGAGUGCGCCUUCUCUCAAAAUGGUCACGAAAAAUACCACAGCAUGUCGGGUGCCAUUCCAUGAUAGCAUGCCAAGUUUCAUGAAUUUCAGACGAGUUUUAGAUUUACUAGAAUUUAAAAACAAAGUAUCUCAUCGUUUUGCCGAGAAUCAACGGUGCCCUGGUGUUUGAAAUUCAUUCCCAUUUCUUGCAUGGGACCUAAGCAUGCACCCAAGGACACAGAUUUGAUUUUUCAACCAAUUUAUAUGCACUGGAGCAUGUGCAUGUAGUUCGAAUUUGAAUUCUGCACAUAAAUGCAUUGAAAACUCAGUUAAUGCAUAAAGAUGUCCAAACGGACCCCGAAAAAUCACAAAAAUUGACACAACACUCCUGGAGCGGUGAAAUGCAUUGAGAUCGGAAAGAACACCAACGGCGAAAGCACUCUGCUGGGCCGACACUGACACUGAGAGACGAAAGCUAGGGGAGCAAAUGGGAUUAGAGACCCCAGUAGUCCUAGCCGUAAACGAUGGAUACUAGGUGUUGUGCGACUCAACCCGUGCAGUAUUGUUGUU